AAACUUCUUUUCAGUGAUGAAGCAAUGACUCCUAAAGAAGCAAAGGGGAAGUCAAUUAGGGUAAUCUAUGAAACUGACAGUAAUGAACAUCAAUGCACUUUGGAGGAUAUGGUCAAAGCAAUAAGGCUUGAAGCUAUUAAAAACUUGAGCAAAUAUGAAAAUGAGACUAAAAAAUGGAGAGACAUAAAGGUAAAGCUAAAGCAAAUAGCACAAGAGGAUUUUGUCCUUCGAAGGAUAGUCAAUCCAGAUGAUCUAGGUAAAUUGCAAUGCAAAUGGAAAAGUCCCUUUCUGGUAAGAGCUUCAAAUUGUCAUGUCUUCUUUAGAUUGAAUGACUUGUAGGGAAAUAAGUCCCUCAGUCAUAGAAUUCCAAAGAUUUUCAGAGAUCCUAUGUGUAAAUUACAUUUAGGUUGUCUUUUAAUCUUGUUAUUUUUAGGAUUACUGUAGCUUAAAAGGUUGCACCCUUUUCACUUACACAGAGGAACUUUAUUCAAAAAGAUGAAAGGUAAGGUUUCUUAACGAGGAAGCCUUCAGACAUUGUAAUUCUCCUAAGAAAUUAUAACACCUCAAAAUCAUAUUUUGGAUAAAUUAGGUAAGUUUAUCAUGAGAUUUAAAUAAGUAUGUUUUGAAACAAGAAAUUAAAUAAAAUAUAUGAAUGAAAUUACCCUUAGUUGAAUUUUAUAUUUAUAUAUUCUCUAAAAAAUUAGUUAAAUGAUAUCUUAAUAAAGAUUAAACAUUAGAAAAUGUUUUUUAUCAAAACAAAUGAAUAUGAACUUUUGAAUACACUUUUAAUUUAACUACACAUUUAAAAUAAUAUUUUCCUAAAAAGAGAAUGUGUGCGUACAUCAUAUUUGAAAGCAUUUGAAUUAAUGAACAAUAUAACAUAUAAAUGAAUAAAUACAAUUAUAUUUUUUAUUCAUGUUGUGAUCUUUGAUUGUGCAUAUAAUUUGAAUUUGUAAUUUUAAACCCUAUUUAUUAAAACCAGUGGCGGAGGAGUCAUUGUGGCUAGAGAUGGCAACGGGGAAUUCCCCGUCGGGUUUUAGCUCCCCAUCCCCGUCCCCACGACGAAAAAAAAUUCCCCACGGGGAUCCCCACGAACGUUUGCGGGGGACAUUUCUUCCCCAUCCCCGUUACCCGCGGGGAUAAAUCCCCAUCGGGGAUCCCCGUACCCGCUUAAAUUAUAAUUAGAUCAUACUUCAUUUGCUAUUAAUAUAAAACAUUGUCACUUAUACACAUUGCUAGAUGUAAAAAUCAUUAUGUGUACAUUAAAAUGAACGUAUUUGUACAACUAGUGAUCUCUUGUCAAGACAAUUAUUUAUUUCUAUUAUUAACUAUUAUAUAAAAACAUCGUCAUAUGUAAGUUUAAUGGGUCCUCACGGGGAACGUGGAUGGGGAAUGCUUCCCCAUCCCUGUCCCCGUUUACCCGCUGGGGGAGAAAUUUUCCUCAUUUACAUCCCCGUGGGGGAAGAAAUUUCCCCAUCCCCGUCCCCUAAUAGAGGAAUUCCCCGCGGGGAAUCGAGGAUCGGGUCCCCAUUGCCAUCUCUAAUUGUGGCUAAGUGUAGCCUCAGCCAUACCAUAAAUUUUAAAGUGUUUAUAUCUUACAUUAUAAUCAUAUAAGAAUAUGUGGUGUGUUGGAUAUAGGCUGCCGUGUUUUAAGCCGUAGGUUAGGUUGUGACUUGUGAGUUUGAUUCACAUUGCUUAUAUUUUUUUGUCAGCUAUAUUAUAUUUUUCUUUUGUCCUCCGCUACUGUUUAAAGCUGAUUGGAGAUUUAAAAUAGACAAGAGAAAAGAGAAAAUAGAAAAAAAAACUUUCGGAUGGGUCAAUUUUCCCUAGCAAACCGACAUGCACUUUUUAUACGUGUGCUUUUUAGGGCCUGUUUGUUUACCCCCAGAUUAUAUAAUAUGGAUUAUAUAAUCCUAAGAGGCAAACAAACAGUCCAGCUUAUUUGCCGAGAUUAUAUAAUCUAACCCUUUGGAUUAUGAUAAUCCAUAAGCAAGUGAGGAGGUGCUUAUUUCAGAUUAUUUUUUCCCACUUCCCCACUACCCUUUCAAGUUUCCUAGAAAUUACACACCAUUGCCAUUAUAAUCCACCGAAUCGUUUUUGCGCCUAUUAGAUCAGAGAAGCCCGCCGCCCAAUAGAAACACGCCGCCCAGCCCUCACCCUCCGCGCGAUCUCGCCCGCGGCACAGGAUCUCGCCGCCUGGCACUGCCGACGGGACGGACGUCUGGCACUGCCGAUGGGACUCACGCCUGGCACUGCCCGCGGCACAGUAUCCCGCCCGCCGCUCCGACGCAGACCCGCGCGGUCGACGUACGACGGGGUAGCCGAAUCCGCCGUAGAUCAGGGUGCCAUGCAGGGUGAGGGAUCCCAUGCGCCGCCCGGUGGUCAGAUCAGGGGCGCCUUGCAGGGUGAGGGCUCCCAUGCGCCGCACGGGUCAGCAUCACGAGAUCAAGGACGUGCAAGUCAGGAACUGGACAACGCAGCGCAGGGACGCGCCGGUCGUGGCACUAGUUCUGUGAAACGUGGUGUGAUACGCGGUAGUAGGAGUGCCGGAAGGAGCAUUCGUGGUGGCCGAAGUGUUGGUAUUGACAUCGAUUUAAAUGCUCAAGGUCAGGAAGAUGAUGAACCAAUUGAAGUUGAAGCUGAAAUUACUGCAAAUAAUUCGGUGAGUAAUUUUCUAACAUAUGGCCAUUGCUAAUUUGUAGACAUUUGUAAUGUUCAUAUGUGAUAUGCUUGUACAUAUAUUUUCGUAUAGAAGGAGAAAUAUGACAAGGCAGAUUGGUCAUCCAUGAAUACUAGAACUUUUUGUGAAAUAUGUGUUGAAGAGGUUGAAGCUGGUAACAGAUCAAAUGGAACACUAACUACUGCAGCGUAUAAAAAUAUUUGUGUUAAGUAUCGACAAAGAACUGGUUUGCUUCACAGCAAAACUCAAUUGAAGAAUAAGUGGGAUUUACUGAAAGGGCUUUACUUAAAAAUAUUUGUGUUAAGUAUCGAUAAACCUAGUUCAACUAGCUAUGAUUAGGUGAUGACAACAAUUAGUAAUCCAAACGAUUGCUAUGAUAUGUUUCGGAUGAGUAGACCUCUUAUUCAAAAGUUGCAUGUUGAUUUCAUCAUAUGGACUGAAGACAACUGAAAAUAUGUGUUCUUUGGAAGCACUUUGUAUGUUUUUAUGGACUAUUGGUGCCCCUCAAUCUGUCGUUUAAGUAAAAAAUAGAUUUCAGAGGUCAAAAGAAACUAUUAGUAGAAAGUUCUCAGAAGUGUUGAAUUGCAUAUUUCUCCUAUCAAAAGAUAUUGUGAAGCCAAGAGAUCCUCAAUUUACUACUGUCCAUGAAAGAUUACUAGGCAACCGAUUUCACCCUCAUUUCAAUUAUUGUAUUGGUGCAAUUGAUGGAACUCAUAUAAGGGUAGUUGUGCCAUCCUCUAAAUUGGUUCAACAUGUUGGUCGACAUGGAUAUCCCACCCAAAAUGUACUGUCCAUAUGUGAUUUCGACAUGAGGUUCACUUUUAUUGUUGCGGGAUGGCCGGGUUCUGCACAUGAUAUGAGGGUGUUCAAUAAUGCUCUAACAAAAUAUGCCACUAUUUUUCCACAUCCUCCACCAGGUAUCAUAUUGUUUAUUAUAUAAUUUCAAUUUAUAAAUUAUUAUGGUCUACUCUCAUAUGUCGGUGUAUUUUUAGGUAAAUAUUAUCUUGUUGACUCAGGAUACCCUAAUCGAUCUGGAUAUCUAGCACCAUACAAAGAAACAAAAUAUCAUUUACCUGAGUAUCGAGCGGGUCCCCGACCUAGCGGAAAAAAGGAGACAUUUAACUAUUUGCAUUCAUCUCUGCGUAAUGUGAUUGAACGCUCAUUUUGUGUUUUGAAGAUGAAGUGGAGAAUUCUGUUACACCUACCCAGUUAUCCUAUGGCCAAACAAUCCAAAAUAAUACAUACAUGUAUGGCUCUUCAUAAUUUUAUUCGUGACAGUUCUUUGGCAGAUAAAGAAUUUGACCGUUGUGAUGAAGAUGAAGAUUAUAUGCCAAUGCCAUCAUCUCAGCCUAGUACUAUUCAAUUUGGGGAUGAAGAAGGUGACAUGAAUGCCUUUCGUGAUAAUAUUGCUAAUGCAAUAUUUGCCAAUGUCAAUUGAAUUAUUUUUUUUCAAAUUAUUUAUGUAAUAAAUUAUGAAUACUCAGAAACGUUUGUUACAUUGUUCAUCUCAUAUAUGAGUUUCAACCUAGUACAAAUAUCGAGGACAUUCUUGUCUUCCUCAUACAAAAGAAUCCUAUUAACAACUCAAAUAAUCUGGGUAAACAAACAAGACUACUCAGAUUAUAUAAUCCAGAUUAUAUAAUUCAGAUUAUAUAAUCCUCCAAAAAUAAUUCAGAUUAUAUAAUCCAUGGUGUAAACAAAUAGGCCCUUAAUCUUUCUUUACUCCUUGCGGCCUUGCCGGACUUUGCAUGCAUGACAUCAGCAUGCACAUUUGCAUUUAAGCCGUCAGUCGUGCAUGCAUGUUUUGUCGCCGGAACUCAUGCUGCUGACAUAUGGGCCCAUAAACCAUAAGCUUCUUCUGUUUGUAACAAAACAAAACGAACGCCACAUGCUCUGCCAGUUUCGUAGAGCUCUGAACUCCCGCGUUUUUAAGACUAUCCGCAAGCGUUACCCCUAAAUUUUUUCCCAUAAAUGUUACUAUACAGUUACGUCAGCAAGAUUCCCUCUCAUAUAUUCACUCAUCCCGCAACGGUUACCUCUACAUAUUCCCAUAUCUCCUACCCUACAUAUAAAAUACACAUUUCAUUCCAACUAACUUCAACUAUCUCUUUUUUUAUUUAUUUUGUUUUUAACGUAUGACUGUAAAAAACAUUGCGUUUAGCAAUUUAUUUUUAAUUUCUAGUAAUUUGAGUCAACAUUUCCGUUAACCAAUAAUUAAGAAUUUCACUUUGCACGCAUGAGACAUGGAUCCAAAUUCGUCCUCCAAGCUAUUACGGUCGAGACACAAGAAGGCUUACUGCAUGGUUGUGUCGUUGCCUCGGUGAACGGCGGUCGACGGUGCUCAUCCUGCGUUGGGUCGUUGCCACAGCCACUCGGCGGACGCGGUCCCGACUUCCGAUGGCGGCGAUUGCCUCGGCAGACGGCGGUCGGCGGCUGCUCCUCGCCUCCUCUACUUGUCAUGCGCUGGGUCGUCGCCUUGCCACAGCCACUCGGCGGACGUCGUCCCGACUCCCGAUGGCGGCGGCACGGCACAACAUCGGUGUUGGAUUGGAUAGCGGCGGCGCGACACAACGCAGUCGAGGGAAAUGGAUCCGGUCGUUUCUUCUAGAGCGCGCGCGUGGUUGCGUCCUCUAGAAGCAACUGCGAGGGGGUGAACAGCAGUCCUCUUCAUGUGGCGUGAGAGAGAAGGGGAUCGCCACCAAGAGUGCUCUAUAGCGACCGCC
RNAcentral lists this long non-coding RNA (5403 nucleotides) under Zea mays. Its description in RNAcentral is "long non-coding RNA (ZMAY_LNC002979)". The record is from RNAcentral. Lineage: Eukaryota; Viridiplantae; Streptophyta; Magnoliopsida; Poales; Poaceae.